GGGUCCAUAGCUCAGUGGGUAGAGCAAUUGACUGCAGAUCAAUAGGUCACCGGAUCGAACCCGGUUGGGCCCU
Non-coding RNA from Phalaenopsis equestris, 73 nucleotides. The record is from the annotation of a RefSeq genome assembly. Lineage: Eukaryota; Viridiplantae; Streptophyta; Magnoliopsida; Asparagales; Orchidaceae.